GCAAGUCGAACGAGAAAGGGCUUCGGCCCCGGUACAGUGGCGCACGGGUGAGUAACACGUAGGUAAUCUAUCCUCGAGUGGUGGAUAACAUCCCGAAAGGGGUGCUAAUACAGCAUAAGACCACGGUCCCGCGAGGGACAGGGGUCAAAGCGGGCCAAUUCAAGAAAGCUCGCGCUUGAGGCUGAGCCUGCGGGGCAUCAGCUAGUUGGUGGGGUAAUGGCCUACCAAGGCUUAGACGCCUAGCUGGUCUGAGAGGAUGAUC
This 262-nucleotide ribosomal RNA is filed under the name uncultured bacterium. Its description in RNAcentral is "partial 16S ribosomal RNA". It matches the Rfam family "Bacterial small subunit ribosomal RNA", at positions 57 to 305 of the family's 1533-position model. The record is from RNAcentral.